GAUGAACGCUAGCGGCAGGCCUCAUACAUGCAAGUCGAGGGGCAGCGGAACACUUCGGUGUUGCCGGCGACCGGCGAACGGGUGCGUAACACGUAUGCAAUCUACCUUGUACUGGGGAAUAGCUUCCGGAAACGGGAAUUAAUACCCCAUAUGCUCUUAGUAGCUCAUGCUACAGAGAGGAAAGCUCCGGCGGUACAAGAUGAGCAUGCGUCCCAUUAGCUAGUUGGUAAGGUAACGGCUUACCAAGGCGACGAUGGGUAGGGGUUCUGAGAGGAAGAUCCCCCACACUGGCACUGAGAUACGGGCCAGACUCCUACGGGAGGCAGCAGUAGGGAAUAUUGGUCAAUGGGCGAAAGCCUGAACCAGCCAUGCCGCGUGCAGGAUGAAGGCCCUCAGGGUUGUAAACUGCUUUUUUGUACGGGAACAAAAAGCGCCUGCGGGCGUCAUUGAGUGUACCGUAAGAAUAAGCACCGGCUAAC
RNAcentral lists this ribosomal RNA (479 nucleotides) under uncultured bacterium. Its description in RNAcentral is "bacterial SSU rRNA". It matches the Rfam family "Bacterial small subunit ribosomal RNA", at positions 28 to 501 of the family's 1533-position model. The record is from RNAcentral.